Molecule: long non-coding RNA, 1278 nt
Organism: Leptinotarsa decemlineata (Colorado potato beetle)
Lineage: Eukaryota; Metazoa; Arthropoda; Insecta; Coleoptera; Chrysomelidae
Source: RefSeq, a predicted model, not a curated record
AUUUUUUGAAUUGAAUUUAUGAACUCGCCUAGUUUUUUUAGGCAAGUUUUGUUGGCUUUAAUCUUACUCUAGAUUAUAGACAUAAUAUUGACUGGCCGUGACGUCACUUUUACAUAUAUUUCACCUGCGAAUCACACAACUUCUUGGCCACUGCGUCACAUCACAUGUGACAAAUCAAUUUUCAAAAUUUUCACAACACGUAAAACUUCAAAACGUCGUAUAAAUGUGAAUACGGGUUUUAUAUAAAAAUAUAAUUGUAUCUAAUUCUAUUUAUGUGUAGUUCGCCGAUUAAUACCCUCCACAAUAAAUUUCACCAUCAUGAUUAUACAUUUCUUUACCAUGUGAAACAUUGAAUCUUAAUGAACUAUAUUAACAUUAAAGAGAACAAAAUUCGGGUCAGUAGGCCGUAGAAUUUGAAGUUCGAAACGUUCCGUCUACUAUUGCGGCCAAACAUGAAGUAAUCGAUGUACAUCGACGACAAAAUGAACAAUUGAUGGAAUCCAUCAAUUGAAAGCCGGUAAUAAAAAACAGUCCAAUUGAAUUCCCAUUACAUCGGUGAAUUAACCGAUGAAAAAGGAACAUACGGAAAAUGUGCAUCAGUUUUUACCAAUAAAAAGUCAUAGGAUUUCUUUCAUGUCAUCUGUCAAUCAUAAAAUCUGGUAAAUUUUGAAAAGUAGGAAAUGAAUUUUUGACAACAAAAAUAUAUUUGAUUGAAAAAUUACCUUUGUUUCCACCGCAAUUUGUUCUUGUAUUAAUGUAGUAAAUGAAAAUCACACUAUUGGAAAACUUGAGAUUACUAGUUAACUUUAGAGGACGUUUAUAAAUGAUCAAGUAGUGGAUUGGAAUAUACAUAAUGAAAAUGGUUCAAAACUAGGAGAGAGGAUUGCUACAUAAGGUACGCACACAUGGAAGGUCCACCUGGAGAUUAUGAAUCGGGAAAAUAUUUGAGAACAGGGUGGAAAAAGUCACAAAUGCUUGCUAACACCUUUUGGUAAGGAUAGCUUGAAGAAUAUUAUCUAUGUUGAACUACCAUUUUGACUUCAUGAAAAUGAAGAAAUGAGCUGAAGAAUGGGAUUUUUUUACUGGGGGGAAGAAUGUUUCUCCUUGUUCAAUUUAAAUAUCUUCAAAUACCCUUUGUAUAUAAGUUUCAUUUUCAUUAGUUUGUUAUGUAUUUUUUUACUCAGUUGUUCUCAAGGUAAUUUUUUAUUUGAUUGUUAAAGAAUUGUCAUACAUUUGAAAUAGAAACGUUCAAUGAAUAAAAAAACGUGCUUUAUUGGG